AUGGCAACGCUCAAGGACCAGCUGAUUGUGAAUCUACUUAAGUAAGAACAAACCCCCCAGAACAAGAUUGCGGUUUGGUGAGGUUGGUGCUGUUGGCAUGGCUUGUGCCAUCAGUAUCCUAAUGAAGGACUUGGCCGAUGAGCUUGCCCUUGUUGAUGUCAUGGAAAACAAGCUGAAAGGAGAGAUGAUGGAUCUCCAGUACGGCAGCCUUUUCCUCAGAACACCAAAAAUUGUCUCUCGCAAAGACUAUAGUGUGACUGCAAACUCCCAGCUGGUCAUUAUCACAGCAAGAGGGAGAGAGCCGACUCAAUCUGGUCCAGCGAAAUGUGAACAUCUUCAAGUUCAUCAUUCCCAAUGUUGUGAAGUACAGUCCAAACUGCAAGCUGCUUAUUGUUUCAAACCCAGUUGAUAUCUUGACCUACGUGGCCUGGAAGAUAAGUGGCUUCCCCAAAAGCCGAGUUAUUGGGAGUGGUUGGAUUCAGCUCGGUUCCAUUACCCGAUGGGAGAAAGACUGGGCAUUCACCCGCUAAGUUGUCAUGGAUGGGUCCUAGGGGAGCAUGGAGACUCCAGUGUGCCUGUGUGGAGUGGUGUGAAUGUUGCUGGUGUCUCCCUGAAGAACCUGAACCCAUAAUUGGGCAGUGAUGCACACAAGGAGCAGUGGAAGGAGGUUCACAAGCAGGUGGUUGACAGUGCCUAUGAGGUGAUUAAACUCAAAGGAUAUACAUCCUGGGCCAUUGGCCUCUCCAUGGCUGACCUGGCUGAGAGCAUGAUGAAGAAUCUUAGGCGGGUGCAUCCCAUUUCUACCAUGAUUAAGGGUCUCUAUGGAAUCAAGGAUGAUGUCUUCCUCAGUGUCCCUUGUAUCCUGGGACAAAAUGGAAUCUCAGAUGUUGUGAAGGUGACUCUGACUUUUGAAGAGGAGGCCUACUUGAAGAGGAGCGCAGAUACACUCUGGGGCAUCCAGAAAGAGCGGCUGUUCUAAAGUCCUCAGAUGUCCUAGAGCUUCACUGUCCAGGCUGCAGCAGGGUUUCUAUGGAGACCACACACUGUCUCCUCAUCUGAACUG
Molecule: non-coding RNA, 1063 nt
Organism: Peromyscus maniculatus bairdii (prairie deer mouse)
Lineage: Eukaryota; Metazoa; Chordata; Mammalia; Rodentia; Cricetidae
Source: RefSeq, a predicted model, not a curated record